Molecule: ribosomal RNA, 228 nt
Filed under: Aulacorthum solani (potato aphid)
Lineage: Eukaryota; Metazoa; Arthropoda; Insecta; Hemiptera; Aphididae
Description: partial 28S ribosomal RNA
Rfam family: Eukaryotic large subunit ribosomal RNA
Source: RNAcentral
CCGACCUCAGAUCAGGCGGGACUACCCGCCGAAUUUAAGCAUAUUAAUAAGCGGAGGAAAAGAAAACAACCGUGAUUCCCUUAGUAGCGGCGAGCGAACAGGGAAAAGCCCAUCGCCGAAUCUCGCCGCGCACUUUUGUGUCGCGGCACGUAUGAGAGUUGUGGCGUACGGGCCGGCCCGUUGUCGGGGCGCACGUGACGGUCCAAGUCUCCCUUGAAAGGGGCCAUA